Plasmodiophora brassicae is the source of this 74-nucleotide transfer RNA. It matches the Rfam family "tRNA". From Rfam's summary of the family: Transfer RNA (tRNA) molecules are approximately 80 nucleotides in length. Their secondary structure includes four short double-helical elements and three loops (D, anti-codon, and T loops). The record is from Rfam. Lineage: Eukaryota; Endomyxa; Phytomyxea; Plasmodiophorida; Plasmodiophoridae.
GUCUGAGUGGCGCAACUGGUCAGCGCGUACGACUGUUAAUCGUGAGGUUCCCGGUUCGAGCCCGGGCUCGGACG